RNAcentral lists this ribosomal RNA (260 nucleotides) under uncultured bacterium. Its description in RNAcentral is "partial small subunit ribosomal RNA". It matches the Rfam family "Bacterial small subunit ribosomal RNA", at positions 26 to 290 of the family's 1533-position model. The record is from RNAcentral.
AGGACGAACGCUGGCGGCGUGCUUAACACAUGCAAGUCGAACGGUGAAGCCUUUCGGGGUGGAUCAGUGGCGAACGGGUGAGUAACACGUGAGUAAUCUGCCCUUGACUCUGGGAUAACUUCGGGAAACCGUGGCUAAUACCGGAUAUGACGCAUGGUCGCAUGGUCUGUGUGUGGAAAGAUUUAUUGGUCAGGGAUGAGCUCGCGGCCUAUCAGCUUGUUGGUGGGUAAUGGCCUACCAAGGCGACGACGGGUAGCCGG